RNAcentral lists this small RNA (47 nucleotides) under Candidatus Sulfotelmatobacter kueseliae. RNAcentral's name for it is "Acido-Lenti-1". It matches the Rfam family "Acido-Lenti-1 RNA". The record is from RNAcentral. Lineage: Bacteria; Pseudomonadati; Acidobacteriota; Terriglobia; Terriglobales; Candidatus Korobacteraceae.
CCCGGCCUUGAAAGGCCGGGCUAUUUUCGGCCCGUCCCUACGGGACG